UUGAGGAACGUCGCGGAGUCA
RNAcentral lists this microRNA (21 nucleotides) under Ectocarpus siliculosus. Its description in RNAcentral is "esi-miR3456-5p". Lineage: Eukaryota; Phaeophyceae; Ectocarpales; Ectocarpaceae. The record is from miRBase by way of RNAcentral.